RNAcentral lists this ribosomal RNA (798 nucleotides) under uncultured bacterium. RNAcentral's name for it is "bacterial SSU rRNA". It matches the Rfam family "Bacterial small subunit ribosomal RNA", at positions 590 to 1384 of the family's 1533-position model. The record is from RNAcentral.
UGCUGUGAAAGNCCGGGGCUUAACUCCGUGUAUUGCAGUGGGUACGGGCAGACUAGAGUGCAGUAGGGGAGACUGGAAUUCNUGGUGUAGCGGUGGAAUGCGCAGAUAUCAGGAGGAACACCGAUGGCGAAGGCAGGUCUCUGGGCUGUAACUGACGCUGAGAAGCGAAAGCAUGGGGAGCGAACAGGAUUAGAUACCCUGGUAGUCCAUGCCGUAAACGUUGGGCACUAGGUGUGGGGGACAUUCCACGUUUUCCGCGCCGUAGCUAACGCAUUAAGUGCCCCGCCUGGGGAGUACGGCCGCAAGGCUAAAACUCAAAGAAAUUGACGGGGGCCCGCACAAGCGGCGGAGCAUGCGGAUUAAUUCGAUGCAACGCGAAGAACCUUACCAAGGCUUGACAUAUACUGGACCGCAUCAGAGAUGGUGUUUCCCUUCGGGGCUGGUAUACAGGUGGUGCAUGGUUGUCGUCAGCUCGUGUCGUGAGAUGUUGGGUUAAGNCCCGCAACGAGCGCAACCCUCGUUCUAUGUUGCCAGCACGUUAUGGUGGGGACUCAUAGGAGACUGCCGGGGUCAACUCGGAGGAAGGUGGGGAUGACGUCAAAUCAUCAUGCCCCUUAUGUCUUGGGCUUCACGCAUGCUACAAUGGCCGGUACAGAGGGUUGCGAUACUGUGAGGUGGAGCUAAUCCCUAAAAGCCGGUCUCAGUUCGGAUUGGGGUCUGCAACUCGACCCCAUGAAGUCGGAGUCGCUAGUAAUCGCAGACCAGCAACGCUGCGGUGAAUACGUUCCCGGGCCUUGU